Molecule: ribosomal RNA, 253 nt
Filed under: uncultured bacterium
Lineage: Bacteria
Description: partial 16S ribosomal RNA
Rfam family: Bacterial small subunit ribosomal RNA
Source: RNAcentral
UACAGAGGGUGCAAGCGUUAAUCGGAGUGACUGGGCGUAAAGGGCGCGUAGGUGGACAUAUAAGUAAAUUGUGAAAGACCCGGGCUUAACCUGGGAAGGUCAAUUUAAACGGUAUGUCUAGAGUGGAGUAGAGGGAAGUAGAAUUUCCGGUGUAGCGGUGAAAUGCGUAGAUAUCGGAAGGAAUACCGGUGGCGAAGGCGUCUUCCUGGACUCUAACUGACACUGAGGCGCGAAAGCAUGGGGAUCAAACAGG